RNAcentral lists this ribosomal RNA (641 nucleotides) under Staphylococcus aureus. RNAcentral's name for it is "partial 23S ribosomal RNA". It matches the Rfam family "Bacterial large subunit ribosomal RNA", at positions 807 to 1452 of the family's 2925-position model. The record is from RNAcentral. Lineage: Bacteria; Bacillati; Bacillota; Bacilli; Caryophanales; Staphylococcaceae.
AACUGAGGGUAGCGGAGAAAUUCCAAUCGAACCUGGAGAUAGCUGGUUCUCUCCGAAAUAGCUUUAGGGCUAGCCUCAAGUGAUGAUUAUUGGAGGUAGAGCACUGUUUGGACGAGGGGCCCCUCUCGGGUUACCGAAUUCAGACAAACUCCGAAUGCCAAUUAAUUUAACUUGGGAGUCAGAACAUGGGUGAUAAGGUCCGUGUUCGAAAGGGAAACAGCCCAGACCACCAGCUAAGGUCCCAAAAUAUAUGUUAAGUGGAAAAGGAUGUGGCGUUGCCCAGACAACUAGGAUGUUGGCUUAGAAGCAGCCAUCAUUUAAAGAGUGCGUAAUAGCUCACUAGUCGAGUGACACUGCGCCGAAAAUGUACCGGGGCUAAACAUAUUACCGAAGCUGUGGAUUGUCCUUUGGACAAUGGUAGGAGAGCGUUCUAAGGGCGUUGAAGCAUGAUCGUAAGGACAUGUGGAGCGCUUAGAAGUGAGAAUGCCGGUGUGAGUAGCGAAAGACGGGUGAGAAUCCCGUCCACCGAUUGACUAAGGUUUCCAGAGGAAGGCUCGUCCGCUCUGGGUUAGUCGGGUCCUAAGCUGAGGCCGACAGGCGUAGGCGAUGGAUAACAGGUUGAUAUUCCUGUACCACCUAUA